GACGAACGCUGGCGGCGUGCUUAACACAUGCAAGUCGAACGGAAAGGCCCUGCUUUUGUGGGGUGCUCGAGUGGCGAACGGGUGAGUAACACGUGAGUAACCUGCCCUUGACUUUGGGAUAACUUCAGGAAACUGGGGCUAAUACCGGAUAGGAGCUCCUGCUGCAUGGUGGGGGUUGGAAAGUUUCGGCGGUUGGGGAUGGACUCGCGGCUUAUCAGCUUGUUGGUGGGGUAGUGGCUUACCAAGGCUUUGACGGGUAGCCGGCCUGAGAGGGUGACCGGCCACAUUGGGACUGAGAUACGGACCAGACGCCUACGGGAGGCAGCAGUGGGGAAUAUUGCACAAUGGGCGGAAGCCUGAUGCAGCAACGCCGCGUGCGGGAUGACGGCCUUCGGGUUGUAAACCGCUUUCGCCUGUGACGAAGCGGGAGUGACGGUAAUGGGUAAAGAAGCACCGGCUAACUACGUG
RNAcentral lists this ribosomal RNA (468 nucleotides) under uncultured bacterium. RNAcentral describes it as "partial 16S ribosomal RNA". It matches the Rfam family "Bacterial small subunit ribosomal RNA", at positions 28 to 507 of the family's 1533-position model. The record is from RNAcentral.